AUGCACCCAUUUGACUAACUUGCAGCAGCUAAUGUCUGCUGCCAAGGUUUCCUCUCCAGAUGCAAGAAAAAAGGUUUUUUUUUUGCCAUUCCUGUUCAUCAGCCUGUGGCAGCCAAGAUUGAGUGGAAGAGUAUAGGA
This 138-nucleotide small nucleolar RNA is filed under the name Pongo abelii (Sumatran orangutan). Lineage: Eukaryota; Metazoa; Chordata; Mammalia; Primates; Hominidae. The record is from RNAcentral.